Molecule: long non-coding RNA, 554 nt
Organism: Aedes aegypti (yellow fever mosquito)
Lineage: Eukaryota; Metazoa; Arthropoda; Insecta; Diptera; Culicidae
Exons: 3
Source: RefSeq, a predicted model, not a curated record
GUUGUUUCAAUAUGAAAUCUUAUGUUGUUAUAAUGUGAAUAAUUGUUAUUUCAAACUAAGCUUUUAGGUUGUUUCUACAAACGGCUGGUUUGAUUUUACUAAAAAUUAGGUUAUUUGUUUCUCUAGAUGUCAAAAUAGAAUAAUGGGUUGGUUCGACCUAAAUUGUACGUUGAAUCAAACUAAGAUUUUAUUUGGAUUAGAAACAACCAAAAUUUCAGUUUGAAACUAACCAACUUCAUGUGUUGUUUCUGCGAAAGGAAAACUGGUCAACUCAAAUAUUUUAAGUAACUGCAAUUUGUUCCCAGUGAUAAGCAUUUCAACUGGAGUUGCUUGUGAAGAUCCUAUAACGAACGAGAAAUGCUGCGGCUAACCCUUCAUUUUUCUGUUGAAUUCCGAAGCAGAAUGAUUGGAGAAAGUAUGCGUCAUGGUAGAAAAUUUCCAGAAGAUAAGGGCGUGCAGUUUUCGAAAGCAAGAGCCUGGUGUUUCAGGAAUUAUGAUAUGUAAUAAUUAUCUUUGAAGACAUCUAUUUUACGAAACCUAAAUAAAUAAUAUAA